RNAcentral lists this ribosomal RNA (467 nucleotides) under uncultured bacterium. RNAcentral describes it as "bacterial SSU rRNA". It matches the Rfam family "Bacterial small subunit ribosomal RNA", at positions 330 to 794 of the family's 1533-position model. The record is from RNAcentral.
UCCAGACUCCUACGGGAGGCAGCAGUGGGGAAUAUUGGUCAAUGGGCGUAAGCCUGAACCAGCCAAGUCGCGUGAGGGAUGAAGGAUCUAUGGUUCGUAAACCUCUUUUAUAAGGGAAUAAAGUGCGGGACGCGUCCCGCUUCGCAUGUACCUUAUGAAUAAGGAUCGGCUAACUCCGUGCCAGCAGCCGCGGUAAUACGGAGGAUCCGAGCGUUAUCCGGAUUUAUUGGGUUUAAAGGGAGCGUAGAUGGGUUGUUAAGUCAGUUGUGAAAGUUUGCGGCUCAACCGUAAAAGUGCAAUUGAUACUGGCAGUCUUGAGUACAGUUGAGGUAGGCGGAAUUCGUGGUGUAGCGGUGAAAUGCUUAGAUAUCACGAAGAACUCCGAUUGCGAAGGCAGCUUACUAAACUGCCACUGACAUUGAUGCUCGAAAGUGUGGGUAUCAAACAGGAUUAGAUACCCCCGUAAU